GAUGAAGAACGCAGCGAAAUGCGAUAAGUAAUGUGAAUUGCAGAAUUCAGUGAAUCAUCGAAUCUUUGAACGCACAUUGCGCCCCUUGGUAUUCCGAGGGGCAUGCCUGUUCGAGCGUCAUUAUAACCCCUCAAGCUCAGCUUGGUGUUGGGGCCUGCCGCACGGGCAGCCCUUAAAAUCAGUGGCGGUGCCAUCUGGCUCUAAGCGUAGUAAUUCUUCUCGCUAUAGAGUCCCAGUGGAUGCUUGCCAUUAACCCCCAAUUUUCUAUGGUUGACCUCGGAUCAGGUAGGGAUACCCGCUGAACUUAAGCAUAUCAAUAAGCGGAGGA
Molecule: unclassified non-coding RNA, 328 nt
Filed under: soil metagenome
Description: partial contains 5.8S ribosomal RNA, internal transcribed spacer 2, and large subunit ribosomal RNA
Rfam family: 5.8S ribosomal RNA (bases 1-120)
Source: RNAcentral